UGGGGAAUUUUGGACAAUGGGCGAAAGCCUGAUCCAGCCAUGCCGCGUGCAGGAUGAAGGCCUUCGGGUUGUAAACUGCUUUUGUACGGAACGAAAAGACUCUGGUUAAUACCUGGGGUCCAUGACGGUACCGUAAGAAUAAGCACCGGCUAACUACGUGCCAGCAGCCGCGGUAAUACGUAGGGUGCAAGCGUUAAUCGGAAUUACUGGGCGUAAAGCGUGCGCAGGCGGUUAUAUAAGACAGAUGUGAAAUCCCCGGGCUCAACCUGGGAACUGCAUUUGUGACUGUAUAGCUAGAGUACGGCAGAGGGGGAUGGAAUUCCGCGUGUAGCAGUGAAAUGCGUAGAUAUGCGGAGGAACACCGAUGGCGAAGGCAAUCCCCUGGGCCUGUACUGACGCUCAUGCACGAAAAGCGUGGGGGAGCAAACAGGAUUAGAUACCCUGGUAGUCCACGCCCUAAACGAUGUCAACUGGUUGUUGGGUCUUCACUGACUCAGUAACAAAGCUAAACGCGUGAAGUUGACCGCGCUGGGGAGUACGGCCGCAAGGUUGAAACUUAAAAUGAAUUGACGGGGGUCAUAGCUGUUUCCU
This 591-nucleotide ribosomal RNA is filed under the name uncultured bacterium. RNAcentral's name for it is "partial 16S ribosomal RNA". It matches the Rfam family "Bacterial small subunit ribosomal RNA", at positions 355 to 938 of the family's 1533-position model. The record is from RNAcentral.